Molecule: ribosomal RNA, 301 nt
Filed under: uncultured bacterium
Lineage: Bacteria
Description: partial 16S ribosomal RNA
Rfam family: Bacterial small subunit ribosomal RNA
Source: RNAcentral
CAGCAGCCGCGGUAAUACGAAGGGUGCAAGCGUUAAUCGGAAUUACUGGGCGUAAAGCGUGCGUAGGCGGUUUGUUAAGUCUGUUGUGAAAUCCCCGGGCUCAACCUGGGAAUGGCAAUGGAUACUGGCAAGCUAGAGUGUGUCAGAGGAUGGUGGAAUUCCCGGUGUAGCGGUGAAAUGCGUAGAGAUCGGGAGGAACAUCAGUGGCGAAGGCGGCCAUCUGGGACAACACUGACGCUGAGGCACGAAAGCGUGGGGAGCAAACAGGAUUAGAUACCCCAGUAGUCCCUGUCUCUUAUAC